CACCUGUGAUGACUAGCCAUGCUAAUACCGAGCCGCCGAGCGGAGCCUUUGGCUCUGAACCCGGGCGUCCAUGAGUUAAGUUUGCUUCUCAAAGGAAGGCCUGAGGUGU
Varanus komodoensis (Komodo dragon) is the source of this 109-nucleotide small nucleolar RNA. NCBI's taxonomy places the organism in Eukaryota, Metazoa, Chordata, Lepidosauria, Squamata, Varanidae. The record is from Ensembl.